Molecule: transfer RNA, 72 nt
Filed under: Camelus bactrianus (Bactrian camel)
Lineage: Eukaryota; Metazoa; Chordata; Mammalia; Artiodactyla; Camelidae
Also listed under: 2 other names
Rfam family: tRNA
About the family: Transfer RNA (tRNA) molecules are approximately 80 nucleotides in length. Their secondary structure includes four short double-helical elements and three loops (D, anti-codon, and T loops).
Source: Rfam by way of RNAcentral
GAGGGUGUAGCUCAACGGUAGAGGGCAUGCUUAGCAUGCAGGAGGUCCUGGGUUCAAGCCCCACUACCUCCA